Molecule: ribosomal RNA, 392 nt
Filed under: uncultured eukaryote
Lineage: Eukaryota
Description: partial 18S ribosomal RNA
Rfam family: Eukaryotic small subunit ribosomal RNA
Source: RNAcentral
CAAUAGCGUAUACUAAAGUUGUUGCGAUUAAAAAGCUCGUAGUUGGAUCUCAGGCAUGGGCGCACGGUCCGCCUCGCGGCGGUCACUGUGUGUUUUGUUUCCCAUCCUACGCUUCCCGGUUAUCAGCCCAUGGUGCUCUUCACUGAGCGUUUUGGGUGGCCGGAACGUUUACUUUGAAGAAAUUAGAGUGUUCAAAGCAGGCCCGUCGCCUGAAUAAUGGUGCAUGGAAUAAUGGAAUAGGACCUCGGUUCUAUUUUGCUGGUUUUCGGAACACGAGGUAAUGAUUAAGAGGGACAGACGGGGGCAUCCGUAUUGCGGUGUUAGAGGUGAAAUUCUUGGAUCAUCGCAAGACGAACAACUGCGAAAGCAUUUGCCAAGCAUGUUUUCAUUAG